Molecule: ribosomal RNA, 301 nt
Filed under: uncultured bacterium
Lineage: Bacteria
Description: partial 16S ribosomal RNA
Rfam family: Bacterial small subunit ribosomal RNA
Source: RNAcentral
CAGCAGCCACGGGAAUACGGAGGGAGCUAGCGUUGUUCGGAAUCACUGGGCGUAAAGCGCACGUAGGCGGCUAUUCAAGUCAGGGGUGAAAGCCCGGGGCUCAACCCCGGAACUGCCUUUGAAACUAGAUAGCUUGAAUCUUGGAGAGGCGAGUGGAAUUCCGAGUGUGGAGGUGAAAUUCGUAGAUAUUCGGAAGAACACCAGUGGCGAAGGCGACUCGCUGGACAAGUAUUGGCGCUGAGGUGCGAAAGCGUGGGGAGCAAACAGGAUUAGAUACCCCCGUAGUCCCUGUCUCUUAUAC